CUCCCAUGGUAACCGCUGCCACUGCACUUGCAACAUCCUACCUCUCUGUGUGUAACCUCUAAGUAUCCCCCAUGUCUUCAGAGCUAUAUCCCUCUCAGAUUCAAGUCCAGAGCAAGAGCAACUGAUACAGUUUGGAUGUGUGUCCCUGUCCAAAUCUUAGGGUGAAUUGUCAUCCCCAAUGUUGCAGCAUCCAGAGAAAUUAUUCUUGAGCUGACAGGUGCAUUAGUCCAAAAAACACUUACCUCAGUGGACCAUAACUAUGCCAGGCUGCAGAACCACCAGCGCCCAUGACAAGUGUGUCCGCAUUACUUCAAGUCUUUUGGUAGUGGUCAGAAAACAACACUGGAGCAAUACCAUGUGGCAACAAGAGCAACAAUGGCCAAGAUAAUGGAGCUGUUCCACCGACUGCACAGAUAAUUAGAAGACAGCUGCCAGAUUGGAGACCAUUUCAGAUGUCAAUCUGCAAAGUGGUAUGGAAAGGCAGGAAAUAAGCCAUGGAACAUUUUAAUUGCCUUCAUAACCUGGGUUACAGGAAAGAGGCAUCUCCUUCAUGAUUUCUGCUUCUGAGAGGAGGGUGCUGUGGCCAAGGGCUUGGAUGCUCACAGAAUCUCCCAUCCCCUUCCAUGAGCAUUAUUGAAGAGAAGAUACCAUGGAAGAAUUGUGGGAAUAAACACGGUGUCAUUCAUA
Pongo pygmaeus (Bornean orangutan) is the source of this 687-nucleotide long non-coding RNA. RefSeq lists it as uncharacterized. The transcript has 3 exons. The record is from RefSeq and is a predicted model, not a curated record. Lineage: Eukaryota; Metazoa; Chordata; Mammalia; Primates; Hominidae.